UGUACUCACUCAUAAACCUUGCCUAC
Molecule: non-coding RNA, 26 nt
Filed under: Rattus norvegicus (Norway rat)
Lineage: Eukaryota; Metazoa; Chordata; Mammalia; Rodentia; Muridae
Source: RNAcentral